Molecule: ribosomal RNA, 253 nt
Filed under: uncultured bacterium
Lineage: Bacteria
Description: partial 16S ribosomal RNA
Rfam family: Bacterial small subunit ribosomal RNA
Source: RNAcentral
UACGGGGGGGGCAAGCGUUGUUCGGAAUUACUGGGCGUAAAGGGCUCGUAGGCGGCCAACUAAGUCAGACGUGAAAUCCCUCGGCUUAACCGGGGAACUGCGUCUGAUACUGGAUGGCUUGAGGUUGGGAGAGGGAUGCGGAAUUCCAGGUGUAGCGGUGAAAUGCGUAGAUAUCUGGAGGAACACCGGUGGCGAAGGCGGUUCUCUGGGCCUUACCUGACGCUGAGGAGCGAAAGCGUGGGGAGCGAACAGG